Molecule: transfer RNA, 78 nt
Filed under: Perkinsus olseni
Lineage: Eukaryota; Perkinsozoa; Perkinsida; Perkinsidae
Description: tRNA-Cys
Rfam family: tRNA
About the family: Transfer RNA (tRNA) molecules are approximately 80 nucleotides in length.
Source: RNAcentral
GGUGUGUAGCUCAGUGGUAGAGCGGCUGACUGCAGAUCAGCAGGUCCUCGGUUCAAAUCCGGGCGCGCCCUUACUUCA